RNAcentral lists this transfer RNA (72 nucleotides) under Marmota monax (woodchuck). It matches the Rfam family "tRNA". Rfam says of the family: Transfer RNA (tRNA) molecules are approximately 80 nucleotides in length. Their secondary structure includes four short double-helical elements and three loops (D, anti-codon, and T loops). Further hydrogen bonds mediate the characteristic L-shaped molecular structure. tRNAs have two regions of fundamental functional importance: the anti-codon, which is responsible for specific mRNA codon recognition, and the 3' end, to which the tRNAs corresponding amino acid is attached (by aminoacyl-tRNA synthetases). tRNAs cope with the degeneracy of the genetic code in two manners: having more than one tRNA (with a specific anti-codon) for a particular amino acid; and 'wobble' base-pairing, i.e. permitting non-standard base-pairing at the 3rd anti-codon position. The record is from Rfam by way of RNAcentral. Lineage: Eukaryota; Metazoa; Chordata; Mammalia; Rodentia; Sciuridae.
UGGGCUGUAGCUCAGUGGCAGAGUGCUUGCCUAGAAUGUAUGAGGCACUGAGUUCAAUCCUUAGCACUACAA